GGCGGGGCCUACACAUGCAGUCGAGCGGUAGGGGAUUCGGUUCCUGAGAGCGGCGCACGGGUGCGUAACGCGUAUGCAACCUACCCUUUACAGGGGAAUAGCCCGUCGAAAGGCGGAUUAAUGCCCCAUGGCUCCUUUAAGAGGCAUCUCUUGGAGGGUAAAGAUUCAUCGGUAGAGGAUGGGCAUGCGUGCCAUUAGCUGGAUGGUGGGGUAACGGCCCACCAUGGCGGCGAUGGCUAGGGGUUCUGAGAGGAAGGCCCCCCACACUGGGACUGAGACACGGCCCAGACUCCUACGGGAGGCAGCAGUGAGGAAUAUUGGUCAAUGGGCGGAAGCCUGAACCAGCCAUGCCGCGUGCGGGAAGAAGGCGCUACGCGUCGUAAACCGCUUUUGUCCGGGGGUAACCGCAGGGACGUGUCCCUGCCUGCAAGUACCGGACGAAUAAGGGUCGGCUAACUCCGUGCCAGCAGGCGCGGUAAUACGGAGGACCCGAGCGUUAUCCGGAUUCAUUGGUUUAAAGGGUGCGUAGGCGGCCCGAUAAGUCAGCGCUGAAGGCUCCUGCUCCACAGGAGAGCUGCCGUUGAUACUGCUGGGCUAUAAUCUUAGCUGAUGCGUGCGGUAUGCGCGCGGCAGCGGAGUAACUGCAUAGAUAUCGGGAAGAACACCAGUGGCGAAGGCGGCUCUCUGGCCUAGAACUGACGCUGAAGCGCGAAAGCGUGGGGAGCGAACGGGAUUAGAUACCCCGGUAGUCCACGCUGUAAACGUUGUGUACUAGGUGUUAGUGACUUGUUCACUAGUGCCGACGCUAACGCAUUAAGUACACCGCCUGGGGAGUACGGCCGCAAGGCUUAAACUCAAAGAAAUUGACGGGGGCCCGCACAAGCGGUGGAGCAUGUGGUUUAAUUCGAUGAUACGCGAAGAACCUUACCUGGGCUUGAACUGUGCCUGACGGGUGUAGAGAUACACCCUUCUUCGGACAGGUAUAGAGGUGCUGCAUGGCUGUCGUCAGCUCGUUUCGUGAGAUGUUGGGUUAAGUCCCGCAACGAGCGCAACCCUUACCCCUUGUUGCUAACAGGUGAUGCUGGGCACUCUAGGGGAACUGCCGGUGAUAAACCGGAGGAAGGUGGGGAUGACGUCAAGUCAUCACGGCCCUUAUGUCCAGGGCUACACACGUGUUACAAUGGCCGGUACAAAGAGACGCAAUGCCGCGAGGUGGAGCAAAUCUCAAAAAACCGGUCUCAGUUCGGAUUGGAGUCUGCAACUCGACUCCAUGAAGCUGGAAUCGCUAGUAAUCGUAGAUCAGCACGCUACGGUGAAUACGUUCCCGGGCCUUGUACACACCGCCCGUCACACCAUCUGAGUUGGCGAGCACCCGAAGUGGCUGAUCUAACCGCAAGGAGGAAGGUUACUAAAGGGAAAGGUCCA
RNAcentral lists this ribosomal RNA (1425 nucleotides) under uncultured soil bacterium. Its description in RNAcentral is "partial 16S ribosomal RNA". It matches the Rfam family "Bacterial small subunit ribosomal RNA". The record is from RNAcentral.